Molecule: ribosomal RNA, 204 nt
Filed under: uncultured bacterium
Lineage: Bacteria
Description: partial 16S ribosomal RNA
Rfam family: Bacterial small subunit ribosomal RNA
Source: RNAcentral
UUGCAGGCUGCAACCCGCCCUGCAUGAAGUCGGGAAUUGCUAGUAAUCGCGGAUCAGCAUGCCGCGGUGAAUACGUUCCCGGGCCUUGUACACACCGCCCGUCACACCAUGGGAGCCGGUAAUACCCGAAGUCAGUAGUCCAACCUCGUGAGGACGCUGCCGAAGGUAGGAUUGGCGACUGGGGUGAAGUCGUAACAAGGUACC